GCCCACGUAGGCCAGCGGUGAGCCGCUCGAUUCAGGAUCGAGUGCCUGGGAGUUCGACUCUCCCCGUGGGUA
This 72-nucleotide transfer RNA is filed under the name Actinomycetota bacterium. RNAcentral describes it as "tRNA-Leu". It matches the Rfam family "tRNA". From Rfam's summary of the family: Transfer RNA (tRNA) molecules are approximately 80 nucleotides in length. Their secondary structure includes four short double-helical elements and three loops (D, anti-codon, and T loops). Lineage: Bacteria; Bacillati; Actinomycetota. The record is from RNAcentral.